Molecule: long non-coding RNA, 353 nt
Organism: Archocentrus centrarchus (flier cichlid)
Lineage: Eukaryota; Metazoa; Chordata; Actinopteri; Cichliformes; Cichlidae
Exons: 3
Source: RefSeq, a predicted model, not a curated record
CAAGCUGAGUCUAGCUGAGCUGAGUAGGUACUAGUGGAAAAGCGGCAGUCUCUGAUAUCUCCAUGCUGACAGCAUGGAGAUAUCAGCUCUGUAACUAGAGCUCUGCUAGCAUUAUAGAAGUGUCAGUAGACAGACGGGAAACACAGCAGAGAGAGGGGAUGAUCUGCAGCAAAAGGCCCAAACUGGAAUCAAACCUUGGCCAGCGUGACAUGUGGUGCAUGUAGUACCAGGAGGAUGUUGGUCCUGUCAGUCCUAUCUUCUGACCUGCCAGUGGUUCAGAUGGACUUAAUCAACUACUUUGCUGUCCUACCAAUCUACCUGUCUGAUCAGAAACCAGUCUUGUCAAGGAUAAA